GUCUUUACUGACGCUGAGGCACGAAAGCGUGGGGAGCAAACAGGAUUAGAUACCCUGGUAGUCCACGCCCUAAACGAUGAGUACUAAACGUUGGAUAAAACCAGUGUUGAAGUUAACACAUUAAGUACUCCGCCUGAGUAGUACGUACGCAAGUAUGAAACUUAAAGGAAUUGACGGGACUCCGCACAAGCGGUGGAUCAUGUUGUUUAAUUCGAAGGUACCCGAAAAACCUCACCAGGUCUUGACAUGCUUUUGCAAAGCUGUAGAAAUACAGUGAAGGUUAUCAAAAGCACAGGUGGUGCAUGGUUGUCGUCAGCUCGUGUCGUGAGAUGUUGGGUUAGUCCCGCAACGAGCGCAACCCUUGUUGUUAAUUGCCAUCAUUAAGUUGGGGACUUUAGCAAGACUGCCAAUGAUAAAUUGGAGGAAGGUGGGGACGACGUCAAAUCAUCAUGCCCCUUAUGACCUGGGCUACAAACGUGAUACAAUGGCUGUUACAAAGGGUAGCUGAGG
This 510-nucleotide ribosomal RNA is filed under the name Candidatus Phytoplasma solani. Its description in RNAcentral is "bacterial SSU rRNA". It matches the Rfam family "Bacterial small subunit ribosomal RNA", at positions 733 to 1255 of the family's 1533-position model. Lineage: Bacteria; Bacillati; Mycoplasmatota; Mollicutes; Acholeplasmatales; Acholeplasmataceae. The record is from RNAcentral.